GGUUGGGUAGUUUAUGAAGAGCGGGGGUUUUGUAAACCUCAGGUGUAAGUUUUACCCCAACCU
This is a transfer RNA of 63 nucleotides. It matches the Rfam family "tRNA". From Rfam's summary of the family: Transfer RNA (tRNA) molecules are approximately 80 nucleotides in length.